UUACGGCCAUAUCAUGUUGAAACACCGAUUCUUGUACGAACACCGAAGUUAACCAACGCCGAGUUAGGUCAUUACCUAGAUGGGUGACCGCUUGGAAAUACCAGGUGCG
This is a non-coding RNA of Acanthosepion pharaonis, 109 nucleotides long. The record is from the annotation of a GenBank genome assembly. NCBI's taxonomy places the organism in Eukaryota, Metazoa, Mollusca, Cephalopoda, Sepiida, Sepiidae.